UUACGGCCAUAUCGUGUUGAAAUACCGCUUCCCGUUCGAUCACUGUGGUAAAGCAACGUCGAGUUUGUUCAGUACCUAGAUGGGUAACAGCUUCAGAAUUCCAGGUGUUGUAAG
This is a non-coding RNA of Acanthosepion pharaonis, 114 nucleotides long. The record is from the annotation of a GenBank genome assembly. Lineage: Eukaryota; Metazoa; Mollusca; Cephalopoda; Sepiida; Sepiidae.